AACGAACGCUGGCGGCGCGCCUAAUACAUGCAAGUCGAGCGAGAAGGUGUAGCAAUACACUUGUAAAGCGGCGAACGGGUGAGGAAUACAUGGGUAAUCUACCAUCGAGUGGGGAAUAACCAACCGAAAGGUUGGCUAAUACCGCGUACGCCUCCGAGUCUUCGGGUUCGGAGGGAAAGCUGCACUGUGAGUGUAGCGCUCUUUGAUGAGCUCAUGUCCUAUCAGCUUGUUGGUAGGGUAACGGCCUACCAAGGCUUUGACGGGUAGCUGGUCUGAGAGGACGAUCAGCCACACUGGCACUGAGACACGGUCCAGACUCCUACGGGAGGCAGCAGUAAGGAAUAUUGCUCAAUGGCCGAAAGGCUGAAGCAGCAACGCCGCGUGGAGGAUGAAAUACUUUUGUAUGUAAACUCCUGUGAGAAGGGAAAAUAUGCAGAUUUUCUGCGUUGAUUGUACCUUCAGA
RNAcentral lists this ribosomal RNA (463 nucleotides) under uncultured bacterium. RNAcentral's name for it is "bacterial SSU rRNA". It matches the Rfam family "Bacterial small subunit ribosomal RNA", at positions 29 to 485 of the family's 1533-position model. The record is from RNAcentral.